This 348-nucleotide long non-coding RNA is filed under the name Trifolium pratense (red clover). Its description in RNAcentral is "long non-coding RNA (TPRA_LNC001204)". Lineage: Eukaryota; Viridiplantae; Streptophyta; Magnoliopsida; Fabales; Fabaceae. The record is from RNAcentral.
UUGUUGUCAUCAGUUCAUGUUCAUCUCUUGUUUGACCCAUAAAACGCGGUAUAGAAACAAGCUAAAGAGAAAUAACAUGCAAUCAAUCAGACAUUGGAACGAUAGAGAGAUGAAGUUACUACAUACCUUGGAAAUGCAAAGAACGACAGAGAACGGCGGAGGGGUUGUGGUUCUUCGACGGAGUAGGGUUUGAAGGAGAACAACCGAGAGAUUGACGGAUUGUGCUUCCAGAUUAAACAGCGGCGGAGGAGAAUAAACGGUGGCGGAGGAGAUUGAACAGCGGAGGAGGAUUGACGGCGGCGUAUUGUGCGAUUAGGUGUCGCAAUCGUCUCACUCAUUUUGCUUUUC